GGCGGACGGGUGAGUAAUGCUUGGGAACUUGCCUUUGCGAGGGGGAUAACAGUUGGAAACGACUGCUAAUACCGCAUAAUGUCUUCGGACCAAACGGGGCUUAGGCUCCGGCGCAAAGAGAGGCCCAAGUGAGAUUAGCUAGUUGGUGAGGUAAAGGCUCACCAAGGCAACGAUCUCUAGCUGUUCUGAGAGGAAGAUCAGCCGCACUGGGACUGAGACACGGCCCAG
This 228-nucleotide ribosomal RNA is filed under the name uncultured bacterium. RNAcentral's name for it is "partial 16S ribosomal RNA". It matches the Rfam family "Bacterial small subunit ribosomal RNA", at positions 97 to 334 of the family's 1533-position model. The record is from RNAcentral.